AUCCUUUUGUGGUUCAAAAGCAUGAUUGGGUUUUCAUGCUCAUGUGUGAGUUGUGGCUCCCUCAAACCUUAUUAGGAUAUCGUCACAUUACCCAUUUGACG
Molecule: small nucleolar RNA, 101 nt
Organism: Callithrix jacchus (white-tufted-ear marmoset)
Lineage: Eukaryota; Metazoa; Chordata; Mammalia; Primates; Cebidae
Source: Ensembl